AGAGAGAGAAACUUUUUGGCCUCCCUCAAUUGGUCCUCGACCGGACGAGCACAACCGGUCGACCGGUUGAACCGGUUGAGCCAUUUUUUGGCUCAACACCCAACCUUUUUCAACUUAAAACCUUUUAACACAAGUUUGAAAAUCAUUUAACACAAGGUUUUAGUUGAAAACAUGAAAUCAUCCAAUUCUUAAGAUAUUUAAAACAAUAUUACUCUUGGAUUAUUUUGGUGCAUAAAUAAAG
This 241-nucleotide long non-coding RNA is filed under the name Vitis vinifera (wine grape). Its description in RNAcentral is "long non-coding RNA (VVIN_LNC003246)". Lineage: Eukaryota; Viridiplantae; Streptophyta; Magnoliopsida; Vitales; Vitaceae. The record is from RNAcentral.